RNAcentral lists this ribosomal RNA (430 nucleotides) under Acidobacteriota bacterium. Its description in RNAcentral is "Acidobacteria bacterium partial 16S ribosomal RNA". It matches the Rfam family "Bacterial small subunit ribosomal RNA", at positions 355 to 776 of the family's 1533-position model. Lineage: Bacteria; Pseudomonadati; Acidobacteriota. The record is from RNAcentral.
UGGGGAAUAUUGGACAAUGGGCGAAAGCCUGAUCCAGCCAUGCCGCGUGUGUGAAGAAGGCCUUUUGGUUGUAAAGCACUUUAAGCGAGGAGGAGGCUACUUAGAUUAAUACUCUAGGAUAGUGGACGUUACUCGCAGAAUAAGCACCGGCUAACUCUGUGCCAGCAGCCGCGGUAAUACAGAGGGUGCGAGCGUUAAUCGGAUUUACUGGGCGUAAAGCGUGCGUAGGCGGCUUUUUAAGUCGGAUGUGAAAUCCCUGAGCUUAACUUAGGAAUUGCAUUCGAUACUGGGAAGCUAGAGUAUGGGAGAGGAUGGUAGAAUUCCAGGUCUAGCGGUGAAAUGCGUAGAGAUCUGGAGGAAUACCGAUGGCGAAGGCAGCCAUCUGGCCUAAUACUGACGCUGAGGUACGAAAGCAUGGGGAGCAAACAGG